AUACGGAGGAUGCGAGCGUUAUCCGGAUUUAUUGGGUUUAAAGGGUGCGUAGGCGGAAAGUUAAGUCAGCGGUGAAACGCAGGUGCUCAACACCUGACCUGCCGUUGAGACUGGUUUUCUGGAAUGCGGAUGCUGUGGGAGGAAUGUGUGGUGUAGCGGUGAAAUGCAUAGAUAUCACACAGAACACCGAUUGCGAAGGCAUCUCACAAAUCCGCUAGUGACGCUGAGGCACGAAGGUGCGGGGAUCGAACAGGAUUAGAUACCCUGGUAGUCCGCACAGUAAACGAUGAUGACUCGCUGUCGGCGAUAGACAGUCGGUGGCCAAGCGAAAGCGAUAAGUCAUCCACCUGGGGAGUACGACCGCAAGGUUGAAACUCAAAGGAAUUGACGGGG
This 393-nucleotide ribosomal RNA is filed under the name uncultured bacterium. RNAcentral describes it as "partial 16S ribosomal RNA". It matches the Rfam family "Bacterial small subunit ribosomal RNA", at positions 523 to 918 of the family's 1533-position model. The record is from RNAcentral.